RNAcentral lists this long non-coding RNA (804 nucleotides) under Durio zibethinus. RNAcentral describes it as "long non-coding RNA (DZIB_LNC000911)". The record is from RNAcentral. Lineage: Eukaryota; Viridiplantae; Streptophyta; Magnoliopsida; Malvales; Malvaceae.
GAUGUGGGAUUCAGGACUCCCCCUUGGGUCCGUGACAUUCUCCCGCACCCAACCUCGUGACGCCCUCGUCACGGAGGCCGGCCACCCUGCCUACCUCCCUCGAGGCGCUCGGCGUGAAUCGAACGGUUUAGGGCUGGCUCUGAUACCACUUGUCACGGGUCGAGACUCAAGCUCCGAACCCGCGCGGCUCCGGGACCCGGGCAUUCACCCUUCCGGCGUCCCAGAUCAGCCUUCCGCCACGGUUCACACCCUUGUGAGGUAUUGUCCGCUCUGGCCCCCCUAGCCUCACGGUUUUGUCCUACAAAAGGCGCCUCACAAGGCGGAGAUGGUGUGAACCCUUUUAUACCCCAGUGACCUUCCUAUUAUGUUCGAUGUGGGAUUCAGGACUCCCCCUUGGGUCCGUGACAUUUCUUGUCACGGGUCGAGACUCAAGCUUCGAACCCGCGCGGCUCCAGGACCCGGGCAUUCACCCUUCCGGCGUCCCAGAUCAGCCUUCCGCCACGGUUCACACCCUUGUGAGGUAUUGUCCGCUCUGGCCCCCCUGGCCUCACGGUUUUGUCCUACAAAAGGCGCCUCACAAGGCGGAGAUGGUGUGAACCCUUUUAUACCCCAGUGACCUUCCUAUUAUGUUCGAUGUGGGAUUCAGGACUCCCCCUUGGGUCCGUGACAUUCUCCCGCACCCAACCUCGUGACGCCCUCGUCACGAAGGCCGGCCACCCUGCCUACCUCCCUCGAGGCGCUCGGCGUGGAUCGAACGGUAUAGGGCUGGCUCUGAUACCACUUGUCACGGGUCGAGACUCAAGC